ACUUAAAUUGAAGAGUUUGAUCAUGGCUCAGAUUGAACGCUGGCGGCAGGCCUAACACAUGCAAGUCGAACGGUAACAGGAAGCAGCUUGCUGCUUCGCUGACGAGUGGCGGACGGGUGAGUAAUGUCUGGGAAACUGCCUGAUGGAGGGGGAUAACUACUGGAAACGGUAGCUAAUACCGCAUAACGUCGCAAGACCAAAGAGGGGGACCUUCGGGCCUCUUGCCAUCGGAUGUGCCCAGAUGGGAUUAGCUAGUAGGUGGGGUAACGGCUCACCUAGGCGACGAUCCCUAGCUGGUCUGAGAGGAUGACCAGCCACACUGGAACUGAGACACGGUCCAGACUCCUACGG
This 351-nucleotide ribosomal RNA is filed under the name Enterobacter cloacae subsp. cloacae. Its description in RNAcentral is "bacterial SSU rRNA". It matches the Rfam family "Bacterial small subunit ribosomal RNA", at positions 1 to 344 of the family's 1533-position model. Lineage: Bacteria; Pseudomonadati; Pseudomonadota; Gammaproteobacteria; Enterobacterales; Enterobacteriaceae. The record is from RNAcentral.